CAGCCGUAAACUAUGCGCGUUAGGUGUAUCGGUGACCACGAGUUACCGAGGUGCCGAAGGGAAACCGUGAAACGUGCCGCCUGGGAAGUACGGUCGCAAGGCUGAAACUUAAAGGAAUUGGCGGGGGAGCACCACAACAGGUGGAGCCUGCGGUUUAAUUGGACUCAACGCCGGGAAGCUCACCGGAUAGGACAGCAGAAUGAUUGCCGGGCUGAAGACCCUGCAUGACUAGCUGAGAGGUGGUGCAUGGCGUCAGUGACUGU
RNAcentral lists this ribosomal RNA (263 nucleotides) under uncultured archaeon. Its description in RNAcentral is "partial 16S ribosomal RNA". It matches the Rfam family "Archaeal small subunit ribosomal RNA", at positions 748 to 1010 of the family's 1478-position model. The record is from RNAcentral.